This 255-nucleotide long non-coding RNA is filed under the name Malus domestica (apple). RNAcentral describes it as "long non-coding RNA (MDOM_LNC014688)". Lineage: Eukaryota; Viridiplantae; Streptophyta; Magnoliopsida; Rosales; Rosaceae. The record is from RNAcentral.
CCUCUUCGAUUUUUGAACAAGCAAUCCUGUCGGGGAUCUAGCUCUCGAGAUUCAGAGAACGGUGCCUCUUCAAUUUUUGAGAAAACAAUCCUGUUGGGAGUCUAACUCUUGAGAUUCGGAGAGCAGUGUCUCUUCGAUUUUUGAGAAAGUAAUCUUGUUGGAAGUUUGGCUCUCGAGAUUCGGAGAGUGGUUCCUCUUCGAUUUUUGAGCAAACAAUCUUGUUGGGAGUGUUUUCUCGAAUGUGAGUAAAGGUUG